This 172-nucleotide small RNA is filed under the name Gopherus agassizii (Agassiz's desert tortoise). Its description in RNAcentral is "TUC338 (ENSGAGG00000016867.1)". The record is from RNAcentral. Lineage: Eukaryota; Metazoa; Chordata; Testudines; Testudinidae.
CUGGAAGCAAUGGAGAGUGAAAUUCUCUCUUUCCAAAACCAGGGACAUAUGGCAGUGACUAUAGAGGGUUCCUUCCACUGGCCUGUCAGUGUGUCACCUGAACUGAAAAGAGUCCCUCCAGAGGGUGAGAGGGGGAACUCAGUCUCCAGGGUCCUUUCAAUCCUUGGCCUUG